GACGAACGCUGGCGGCGUGCCUAAUACAUGCCAGUAGAACGCACAGUUUAUACCUUAGCUUGCUACACCAUAGACUGUGAGUUGCGAACGGGUGAGUAACGCGUAGGUAACCUGCCUGGUAGCGGGGGAUAACUAUUGGAAACGAUAGCUAAUACCGCAUAAUAUUGAUUAUUGCAUGAUAAUUUAUUGAAAGAUGCUAUUGCAUCACUACCAGAUGGACCUGCGUUGUAUUAGCUAGUAGGUGAGGUAACGGCUCACCUAGGCGACGAUACAUAGCCGACCUGAGAGGGUGAUCGGCCACACUGGGACUGAGACACGGCCCAGACUCCUACGGGAGGAAGCAGUAGGGAAUCUUCGGCAAUGGACGGAAGUCUGACCGAGCAACGCCGCGUGAGUGAAGAAGGUUUUCGGAUCGUAAAGCUCUGUUGUAAGAGAAGAACGGGUGUGAGAGUGGAAAGUUCACACUGUGACGGUAUCUUACCAGAAAGGGACGGCUAACUACGUG
RNAcentral lists this ribosomal RNA (505 nucleotides) under uncultured bacterium. RNAcentral's name for it is "partial 16S ribosomal RNA". It matches the Rfam family "Bacterial small subunit ribosomal RNA", at positions 28 to 507 of the family's 1533-position model. The record is from RNAcentral.